AUUGAACGCUGGCGGCAUGCCUUACACAUGCAAGUCGAACGGCAGCACGGGGGCAACCCUGGUGGCGAGUGGCGAACGGGUGAGUAACAUAUCGGAACGUGCCCUGGAGUGGGGGAUAACUAGUCGAAAGACUAGCUAAUACCGCAUACGAUCUACGGAUGAAAGUGGGGGAGUCGCAAGACCUCAUGCUCGUGGAGCGGCCGAUAUCUGAUUAGCUAGUUGGGGGGUAAAGGACCUACCAAGGCAUCGAUCAGUAGCUGGUCUGAGAGGACGACCAGCCACACUGGGACUGAGACACGGCCCAGACUCCUACGGGAGGCAGCAGUGGGGAAUUUUGGACAAUGGGCGCAAGCCUGAUCCAGCAAUGCCGCGUGAGU
RNAcentral lists this ribosomal RNA (377 nucleotides) under uncultured bacterium. RNAcentral describes it as "bacterial SSU rRNA". It matches the Rfam family "Bacterial small subunit ribosomal RNA", at positions 30 to 406 of the family's 1533-position model. The record is from RNAcentral.